CCGGGCGGCACGGGUGGAGUAACACGUAUCCAACCUGCCGUCUACUCUUGGCCAGCCUUCUGAAAGGAAGAUUAAUCCAGGAUGGGAUCAUGAGUUCACAUGUCCGCAUGAUUAAAGGUAUUUUCCGGUAGACGAUGGGGAUGCGUUCCAUUAGAUAGUAGGCGGGGUAACGGCCCACCUAGUCAACGAUGGAUAGGGGUUCUGAGAGGAAGGUCCCCCACAUUGGAACUGAGACACGGUCCAA
Molecule: ribosomal RNA, 244 nt
Filed under: uncultured bacterium
Lineage: Bacteria
Description: partial 16S ribosomal RNA
Rfam family: Bacterial small subunit ribosomal RNA
Source: RNAcentral